UAUAACUUUGCAAAUCAAAGUACAUUUUGGGCAAAACCCUAGCUUUUUUCAAACUGAUCGUUAAGCGGUUCUGAACUAGUACUACAGAGAGCUUUUCAUGGAAGGCUCGCAGCAAACGCGUUAUUCAUUAACCUAUCUGCUACAACUUGCAUCUUAAGAUACCUCGUGUUUCUGAAUUAUUUCUUGUAAGAUUUUCCCUUUAUGACUGGAGUAUUUAGCUAUCUAAUUUUCCAUGAUAUGGAAAAGAAAGAAUUGUGGGUGUUGAUUUAAUCCUCAAUCAUACCUUCUUAGAUCACUCUGGUCAUAUGAUCCAUACAAUAUACCCGAAACCAAUUGUCAAUGCUCUAUAGGUUGUCUCUGGCAUGCCAGUGGUGUUGGAAAUGCAUUGGUAGAGCCUACUAUGGUGUUUGAAAUGUAUUGUUAGAGCCUAUACGACAGUAUAAUUUAUAAACUUAGGUAAAAAAUCUCUUUAUGUUCUUUGAUUUAGUGUUCCAUGGUUUACUUCUGACUUAGCAAUUUACUUGGUGAAUGGAAGUGGAGGUGGUUGUUUUAUACCAACUGUUCAAGCCAACAUGAAACAUCCUAUGAAGAUUGCUCGUUGAGUCAAGAUUCAAGAAUAUUGUAUUUAUACUGCAGUAGUGCUCUUGGCUCCAACUGUGGCUGGUCUGCCUUGCACAGCGCCUCCUGAUUCCUCUGUCCACAUGAAGAGAUGCCCUUGAAGCUCAGUCUUCUGUGAGAUACUUUGAGCUAUGUUUAUCUAUCUUUAAGACAGUUGUGCCCCUGUGAGGGGAUCAAACAAUUAGGUAGUUGUUUGGCAGCCAAGAAUGAAUAUCUAUGGCAGUGAAUACCUAUACAGUACAUCCUAAAUGUCACUAAACUUGGCAUGGACACUACCACAGACAAUACAUGGAUUGAGCAAAUGCAGUGAGCAAUCUUCGACAGCAUCUUGAAGGUUUUCACGCACGGUAAGGACAUAAACCUUGGCUUUGAUUGAGAUUAAUGUAAUGUCACACCACCAUGUACGCAAACUGUUGUGCGAGGAGGUAAAAUAUUAAAGCUGACAUCUCUUACUGCUAUGGCUUUCCCUUUCUGUACAAGUGUAUUCAGCCUUCAAUGUUAUUGCCAAUCAGGCAGGCUUCUCUGCUUAUCCACGGUUUCGAGUAUGUCCUGAGCAGCUGAACCUUUAGAAGGAUAGCGUCCUCUCAGUUUACCCGGCCUUUACGAAUUACUUUCGAACUUAUUGUAAGAUUAUGAUUUUAUUUCGAUUUAUUUAUCAAUUGCUAGUGCUGUUUACACAAUGUACUGGGAAGGGAAGACAGAUUUUAAUGUUUGCUCCCUUUUUGGCACAAUUUGGCUGCAGUUAUCUUCAAUUAUGUGAAUUUCAAGUUCAUUUA
Long non-coding RNA from Cornus florida, 1394 nucleotides. RefSeq lists it as uncharacterized. The record is from RefSeq and is a predicted model, not a curated record. The transcript is spliced from 2 exons. NCBI's taxonomy places the organism in Eukaryota, Viridiplantae, Streptophyta, Magnoliopsida, Cornales, Cornaceae.